AUAGAGUGGAAGAGGUCAUCAGG
RNAcentral lists this non-coding RNA (23 nucleotides) under Arabidopsis thaliana (thale cress). The record is from RNAcentral. Lineage: Eukaryota; Viridiplantae; Streptophyta; Magnoliopsida; Brassicales; Brassicaceae.